Cygnus olor (mute swan) is the source of this 1154-nucleotide long non-coding RNA. RefSeq lists it as uncharacterized. The record is from RefSeq and is a predicted model, not a curated record. The transcript has 2 exons. NCBI's taxonomy places the organism in Eukaryota, Metazoa, Chordata, Aves, Anseriformes, Anatidae.
CAUGAAGAACUCCUCAGGGGCCGCAGUGAAGAAAACAACAGAAGCUGCACGAUGAAGCAAUCCUCAGGGCCUGGAACAAGAAAAAAACACCCAAAGUUGGAAGAUGAAGCACUUCUCAGGGGCAGCAAGGUUAAAACAACACCAAAAGCUGGACGAUGAAGCUCUCCUCAGGGGAAAAGUGCUGAAGAGAACCGCGAAAGAUGCACGAUGAAGAACUCCUCAGGGCCACGCUGAAAACAACACCAAAAGCUGCACGAUGACGUACUCCUCCAGGGUCGCAGACUGAAGAAAACACCGAAAGCUGCACCAUGAAGCUCUCCUCAGGGGCAACGUGCUCUGGAGAACCGCAAAACCUGCACGAUGCAAAACUCCUCAUGGGCCGCAGUGAGGAGAACCCCAAAACCUGAACGAUGAAGAACUCCUCGGGGCCUGGAACGAGAAAAGAAACACCAAAGGUUGGAUGAUGAAGCACUUCUCAGGGGCAACAAGAUGAAAACAAUACCAACAGAUGCACGAUGAAGUUCUCCUCAGGGAAAACACGGUGAGGAGAACCCCAAAGGUUGGACAAUGCAGAAUUCCUCGGGGCCGCAGUGAAGAAAACACCAGAAGCUGCACGAUGAAGAACUCCUCAGGGGCCACAAGGUGAAGAAAACACAAAAGAUAGACGAUAUUGCUCUCCUCACGGGAAACGUGGUGAAGAGAACCCCAAACGCUGGACGAUGAAGAACUCCUCAGGGCCGUAGAGAAGAAAACACCAAAGACUGCAAGAGGGAGAACUCCUCAGGGGAAACGUGGUAUGGGGAACGCCAAAAGCUGGACGAUGCAGAUCUCCUCAAGUAUCGCAACGUGAAGGACACACUACGAGCUGCUCAAUAAACCCCUCCUCAGGAACUGCAGUGAAGAAACACCAAAAGCUGCGCCAUGAAGAACUCCUCAGGGGCCGCAGUGAAGAAAACAACAGAAGCUGCACGAUGAAGCAAUCCUCAGGGCCUGGAACAAGAAAAAAACACCCAAAGUUGGAAGAUGAAGCACUUCUCAGGGGCAGCAAGGUUAAAACAACACCAAAAGCUGGACGAUGAAGCUCUCCUCAGGGGAAAAGUGCUGAAGAGAACCGCGAAAGAUGCACGAUGAAGAACUCCUCAGGGCCACGGUGA